Long non-coding RNA from Neofelis nebulosa (Clouded leopard), 761 nucleotides. RefSeq lists it as uncharacterized. Lineage: Eukaryota; Metazoa; Chordata; Mammalia; Carnivora; Felidae. The record is from RefSeq and is a predicted model, not a curated record. The transcript is spliced from 2 exons.
CAACUGCCAGGCAGGCUGCCACCUGGCAGGGCUGCCCCCUGUGGGGGCCUCUGAGACAUAAAGAAGUUUUUGUUUCCUAUGAACGAGACGUGAACUACAAUCUAUGGUGCCCUCUGUGACUAAAACCCACCAAGUGUGAUUUCUGAAAUUCAGGAAGCCAAGAAGGUAUUCUUUAGAGAACUUGAACCAGAGAAUCCCAGACUCAGAUAACAACAGGCAUAGAGGAUGGGGAACCAGGUGCUAGACUGAAAGAAAAGCACUUAGGUGAAAAUCUGGUUUUCCAAGCACCCUUCCUGCCUCUGCUCACGGAACAUGAAUGCCUGGAUAUAUACCACCCAAGCAGAAGCAUAAAGGAAAAUUCUCCAAAGAAAUUCACUGGCUCUGGAGAAAAUCUCCACAGAGACUCCCAUCUAAAAAUGUUCUUCAUCAACUCAGCCAGCUCACCUCCUGACAAUACUUACCGAGGGACAAACCACUCCCAAGCACACAGUUUCCUAAUGGCUCCUUAUUGCAUCAGUUGUUAAUCAUAAAUGAAGAUUCGAAGAUCGCCAGACAUUUGAAGAUGUUCUCAAAGAUGCAAAAAGAGAACUAAGCAAAUAAAUAUAGUUUUUAAGGGACUAAGAAGACAUCGAGGCAGCAGAGGAAACAAAAGUAAAACCAAAAGACAAAAAAAUGAACCGACAGUAAUUAUCAUCAGAGAGUUCUGAAAAAACAUUGCCUUCACAAAACAAGAUAGGAUACAAUAAAAAGGAAUCAUCAGA